This 396-nucleotide ribosomal RNA is filed under the name uncultured bacterium. RNAcentral's name for it is "partial 16S ribosomal RNA". It matches the Rfam family "Bacterial small subunit ribosomal RNA", at positions 523 to 918 of the family's 1533-position model. The record is from RNAcentral.
AUACCUAGGGGGCAAGCGUUAUCCGGAUUUACUGGGUGUAAAGGGAGCGUAGACGGCAAAGCAAGUCUGAAGUGAAAGCCCCGGGCUUAACCCGGGAAUUGCUUUGGAAACUGUUUAGCUAGAGUGCCGGAGAGGGAAGCGGAAUUCCUAGGGUAGCGGUGAAAUGCGUAGAUAUUAGGAGGAACACCGGCGGCGAAGGCGGCUUACUGGACUGUAACUGACGUUGAGGCUCGAAAGCGUGGGGAGCAAACAGGAUUAGAUGCCCUGGUAGUCCACGCCGUAAACGAUGAUUACUAGGUGUUGGUUGUCAUAGACAAUCGGUGCCGCAGCAAACGCAAUAAGUAAUCCACCUGGGGAGUACGUUCGCAAGAAUGAAACUCAAAGGAAUUGACGGGG